RNAcentral lists this ribosomal RNA (400 nucleotides) under uncultured bacterium. Its description in RNAcentral is "bacterial SSU rRNA". It matches the Rfam family "Bacterial small subunit ribosomal RNA", at positions 355 to 753 of the family's 1533-position model. The record is from RNAcentral.
UAGGGAAUAUUGGGCAAUGGAGGCAACUCUGACCCAGCCAUGCCGCGUGCAGGAAGAAGGCGUUAUGCGUUGUAAACUGCUUUUAUAUGGGAAGAAAAAGACUAUGCGUAGUAAAUUGACGGUACCAUAUGAAUAAGCACCGGCUAACUCCGUGCCAGCAGCCGCGGUAAUACGGAGGGUGCAAGCGUUGUCCGGAUUUAUUGGGUUUAAAGGGUGCGUAGGCGGCUUUUUAAGUCAGCGGUGAAAGACUGUCGCUCAACGACGGAACUGCCGUUGAUACUGAUUAGCUUGAGUAUGAUUGAGGCAGCCGGAAUGGAUAGUGUAGCGGUGAAAUGCAUAGAUAUUAUCCAGAACGCCGAUAGCGUAGGCAGGUUGCUAAGUCAUUACUGACGCUGAGGCA